This 460-nucleotide ribosomal RNA is filed under the name uncultured bacterium. RNAcentral describes it as "partial 16S ribosomal RNA". It matches the Rfam family "Bacterial small subunit ribosomal RNA", at positions 338 to 795 of the family's 1533-position model. The record is from RNAcentral.
CCUACGGGUGGCAGCAGUGAGGAAUAUUGGUCAAUGGGCGAGAGCCUGAACCAGCCAAGUCGCGUGAAGGAUGAAGGAUCUAUGGUUUGUAAACUUCUUUUAUAUGGGAAUAAAGUGAGGAACGUGUUCCUUUUUGUAUGUACCAUAUGAAUAAGCAUCGGCUAACUCCGUGCCAGCAGCCGCGGUAAUACGGAGGAUGCGAGCGUUAUCCGGAUUUAUUGGGUUUAAAGGGUGCGUAGGUGGUUAAUUAAGUCAGCGGUGAAAGUUUGUGGCUCAACCAUAAAAUUGCCGUUGAAACUGGUUGACUUGAGUAUAUUUGAGGUAGGCGGAAUGUGUGGUGUAGCGGUGAAAUGCAUAGAUAUCACGCAGAACACCGAUUGCGAAGGCAGCUUACUAACCUAUAACUGACACUGAAGCACGAAAGCGUGGGGAGCAAACAGGAUUAGAUACCCGAGUAGUC